This 333-nucleotide unclassified non-coding RNA is filed under the name Hevea brasiliensis (rubber tree). Lineage: Eukaryota; Viridiplantae; Streptophyta; Magnoliopsida; Malpighiales; Euphorbiaceae. The record is from RNAcentral.
CAAAACUUCAUUAGCAGCGCGAACUUCUCUCAAAAACAACAAUGGAGGAGCCAGCGAAGGGAACGGUCACACCAUUCGCUUCGAUGUUUCCAUUUGACGAAGCACAGAAGGCGGUGCAGCGAGUGGAGGAUGCGAUUGCAGAGAAGCAGAAGGAGCUCGAACGCCACAAACAAUUCAUCGCCGAUAACACCAAUCUCGUCAACCUCGUUUCCCGCCUCCCGGACGAGCUCCACCACGACGUCAUGGUUCCGUUCGGAAAAGCCGCGUUCUUUCCUGGCCGAUUGAUACACACAAAUGAGUUCGUGGUUCUUCUGGGAGAAGGUUACUACGCCG